Limulus polyphemus (Atlantic horseshoe crab) is the source of this 89-nucleotide long non-coding RNA. RefSeq lists it as uncharacterized. The record is from RefSeq and is a predicted model, not a curated record. The transcript is spliced from 3 exons. Lineage: Eukaryota; Metazoa; Arthropoda; Merostomata; Xiphosura; Limulidae.
ACAAUGCAAAAAGUACAGUAACAAGGUAAGAGUUGAAUACACAAAACCGUACAGAAAUCCCUACAUAAAUAGCCAAAUCUUUUGAAAAA